GCGCACAAAUGGAUAAGGCUAGGUGGUGCAUGGAUUAGUUGCCCAUUCAAAUUCAAACUUCAUCUGAAUUUGAAUGGCCAACCAACCAUAUUUAUCCACCCAAAUGGUGCACAAAUGGAGGGGUGUGGAAGGCUUCUUCAUGGGAAAAAAUUCAUGAGAAGUUGUUUCUCGUGAAUUCAAAUGGGCGCAGAUGAGUGAGGUGGCACAGUGAG
Molecule: long non-coding RNA, 212 nt
Filed under: Elaeis guineensis (African oil palm)
Lineage: Eukaryota; Viridiplantae; Streptophyta; Magnoliopsida; Arecales; Arecaceae
Description: long non-coding RNA (EGUI_LNC078162)
Source: RNAcentral